Molecule: non-coding RNA, 396 nt
Filed under: Pongo abelii (Sumatran orangutan)
Lineage: Eukaryota; Metazoa; Chordata; Mammalia; Primates; Hominidae
Source: RNAcentral
GGAAACCGGCUCUGAGGAUCGCUGUGAGGCAGCAAAGGACUGGAGGUUCCAUGAUUUGGGGGCGCCUCUGCCGCAGGCCCUUUCUACCUGAGUGUUCUCUCUUCUGCAACACCCGUUUCAACCCCUUUUAAAGGAAUUGGGGGCUAGCCAGACUAGACUAGGGGCGGCGAAACGCACUGAAGGGAGUCGGAUACAGAAUUUCUUGCAAACGAGGUCAAGUCGUGUCUGGGAUACGGUAUCAUGCCCCACCCGCGCUCCACGACCCCGCCGGCCCCACCUUUCUUUUGCUUCGCCAGCAGAGACCGGCACGGCCUUCUUACGUGCAUUUGAAAUUACCUAAGGGCGUAAGCAAUAUUUCCUCUGUCACGGAUUAAAACUUUCGACGUAACGGUGUUA